RNAcentral lists this ribosomal RNA (441 nucleotides) under uncultured bacterium. Its description in RNAcentral is "partial 16S ribosomal RNA". It matches the Rfam family "Bacterial small subunit ribosomal RNA", at positions 338 to 795 of the family's 1533-position model. The record is from RNAcentral.
CCUACGGGUGACAGCAGUGGGGAAUAUUGCACAAUGGGGGAAACCCUGAUGCAGCAACGCCGCGUGGGUGAAGGAGCGUUUCGGCGCGUAAAGCUCUGUUAGCGGGGAAGAAGAAAGACGGUACCCGACCAAGAAGCCCCGGCUAACUACGUGCCAGCCGCCGCGGUAAUACGGAGGGGGCGCGCGUUAUCCGGAAUUCCUGGGUGUAAAGGGAGCGUAGACGGCAUGCCAAGUCUGGUGUGAAAGCCCGGGGCCCAACCCCGGACCUGCAUUGGAAACUGGCGGGCUGGAGUGUCGUAGGGGCAGGCGGAAUGCCUAGUGUAGCGGUGAAAUGCGUAGAUAUUAGGAGGAACACCGGUGGCGAAGGCGGCCUGCUGGACGAUGACUGACGCUGAGGCUCGAAAGCGUGGGUAGCAAACAGGAUUAGAUACCCCAGUAGUC